Molecule: long non-coding RNA, 2295 nt
Filed under: Cucumis sativus (cucumber)
Lineage: Eukaryota; Viridiplantae; Streptophyta; Magnoliopsida; Cucurbitales; Cucurbitaceae
Description: long non-coding RNA (CSAT_LNC002212)
Source: RNAcentral
GCGAUACAUAGCAAUGUUGAUGUCAAAAUUUCGUCAACAAAUAUUGGUGUGACCUUAGUUUGGCAACAAUGGUGAAUUUGUAAUUUUGGGAUAAGUUGAUCUGCAAAAAUCCGAAUAAGGUUGGGCACACUGAUGUGGUGUAAACUACACUGGUUUCGGUACUUAGUAAGUUUACAAGAAAAUCUGUAAUGAAAGUAUAAUCAAAUGCACAUAAGACAACGUACCUUCUUUGUGCUUCCAUCAUCCUUCUAUUUAUAAGGUCCUAUCUUUUCUUUUCACAGUAGGUUUUCUUCAAUCGUCAUCCAUGUUAGCUUUCGAGAUCUGGACCCUCCUUGACCCAAAGUUGAGCCUUCCAUUAUAGGUGUCGGUUAAUUUCCUGUAAUGACCCAAAUUUUUAAUAACCAAGCUGGAGUCAUUACUAAUCUAAUUAUCUUUAACUUUCUAAAAACAAUAACGGAAGCAUAAACCAAGUAGUUCCUAUAUGGCUAGUCACAGGUUCUUCUUCUUGUCGCUCGUUAGCUUGCCUUUCCUCUUACCUUUGUCUGAAAAGUUAAACAUGAAAAUGGUGAGUAUAAAUAUAGUACACACAGUAAGGGAUUCACUACUGGUCUUGCUAGGUAAACCGAUAACUUCCUAUUAGGAGGUACCCUGAGUCGUCAUAUCAGUCUAGUGAUCUCGUAGGAACACAAAUCAGGCAUCAAGUGAACCUAAACGUACACUUAACAGUCAAUCAGUCAUCAAUAUCAGUCUAAAGGUAGUGAUCUCGAGGGACUUCGUACAUGUGCAGAGUACACUAGCCUAAGAACUAAAGGUAACAACUACCAUUAGACCAAAUAGGCAUAUUGCAAUCAAACUUAGUCUAAUAAUAGGCAUAAACAUAACAUGCAAUAUCAACCAACAAACUUCAUAGUUACGUAUUCAGUAAAAUAAAUAAAUCAAUACAAUUUUUGUCAAACUCUCACAUAAGACUAUCAAUGCAUUUUAAUUAUGUGCAUGUUAGUCAAUCCAUACAAUACAACUUAAAUCUUAAAUCGAAGGUUCGGUAGUAGAAAUCUCUUACCUCAAAAUAGAAUUAAACUCCUUUGCAAAGUUCCUUGAUGCAAAUCAAACCACAAAUUAACCUAAACAUAAGUAAAAUAAUUAAUAAUUUUACUUAACAAAAUUAUCAAUUAUGGUCAAAUAGUAAUCCUUGAUAGGCAUGCAAAAAGCAUCGUACUUUUUACCGUAAGCAUUCCUAAGUUACCACAGGUUACUCAAAUUCAUUGCACUUUACACAUUCCACGAUAGCCUUAGACCAAACCAAUUACUACCCUUAAUAAACUAUCAGUAACUCAUAAUUAAGUCAAUAGUUAUCCAUCACAAUUAUUACAGUAACACAUAGGAUAUGCAAAUAACUCUCCAUAACAGUUAUCAAAGUACCCCAUAAGCCAAAUAAACAAUUCAUCAACAAUGGACUUGCAGUAAACUAAUUGACAACAUACCAUAUUAGUAAUCCAUAGUAGGCAUGUAAACAAUCAUCAUACUUCACAACCAUCAGAGUCUAAUUCACAACAUACUAUAUCAGUAAUUCAUAAUAGACAUGUAAAUAAUUAUCAUACUUCACAACAAGCAUAGACAAUUUCCAUUGUAAGCAUACGCAAAUAAUUAUCUUGUACACCUUAACCUAAUUCAAUGACUACCCUUCACAAUUUAAUUAAAGCUAACCUUAGGUUAUACAGAUAAUUCACCAUUACAAACAUAUCACAGACUAUGCAUAAAGUCGUAUCACCAUUAAUUAUCACAGCGUAACUGAACCCUUAAUCGAGUAUCCAGUAGUAGAAUAACUCUUACCUUAGGUUAUGCUAAGUUCCUUUGUUGCAAAUGAAAACCACAAUUUUACUUAUGCAUAACCAAAAUUAAAUUAACGAUUUUCAACAAAUUACUAAUUUAAUUACCUUAGCUUACCAAAUGGAAGUUGAAAAUGCUCUCAAUCUUGAUGGAAAAAUUCAUCACUUAAAUCCAUGUUUUUUCAAAGGGACCUUCCAAACGUAUGCAACCAAAAUCAAUUUUAAUAAUAAACUUAAUUUAGAGUUUCUCAAUUCACUUUUAUUGGGUAUUAAAAUCCUACACAAAGACAAAAAACACUCAAGCAACUCACCAAUCUUAAACCAAAUCGGUGAGCAUGAUGACAGACAACACACAACUCAUCCAGAUGAGGUUGGACGAAGAAGAAAGCGAUAUCGAAGAACAACGAAGAAGAAUUAAGGGAGAGAGUUAGCAACUCGAGUACGUUGGGGAAAAAGAUGAAUAUAUUUU